UCAUGUUAAAUCGGGGCUUUAGCGGCGCCUUGUAACCCUCAAUCCGCUAUAGGGGGGAUGAAAACUUACACUGAGGGAUACGUUUGUUUGGUCUGACCUAUGUAAGUGGCGUUGACGGCUUGGUCUCGCGCAAUCGGAACCUGUGAACCUCGUCAGGGCGGGAACGCAGCAGCGAUAAGCAGUAAUUUCGAUGUGCCGCGAGGGCGCUAAGUUUGAGCUAACUGCAUGGGUAACGCUUGUAGGCGUAUUUCGAAUGUAAGCACAUGA
Molecule: signal recognition particle RNA, 267 nt
Filed under: Bacillota bacterium
Lineage: Bacteria; Bacillati; Bacillota
Description: Firmicutes bacterium (gut metagenome) signal recognition particle sRNA large type
Rfam family: Bacterial large signal recognition particle RNA
About the family: The signal recognition particle (SRP) is a universally conserved ribonucleoprotein involved in the co-translational targeting of proteins to membranes.
Source: RNAcentral